AGCAUCUUCCCUGUCUGCCAAGAGAGGUUCAGGAUCCUGUUAAGUGAGAAUCGACAUCCGGGUUGUUGUUUCCUUUAGAAUCUUCUUUUAAGCUCCUUGGGUUGGCAAACACUGCAGGGUUGAGAGCCGGAGAACUGGUAGCUUGGUUGGCAUUUGGCUAUGAUCCAGUUGGGCAAGAGCUCUUAGUGGUGUCCCUAGAAGAGGAAACAGAGCUUCCUGAGUGUUCUGAAGAAAUCCAAGAUAUUCCCUAUUUAAAACGAUUUAAGAGGGUAAAAUUAAAGAGGGGAAGAGCAUAAACCAGAGUUGGUGAGAGUCAAGGAGAGAACCAAGUCCUCUUAGAAGACGAGGCAAGAUCAGACAAGGAUUAGAUUGAUAUCAAUCAAGACUUUAAUUUGAGAAUUAGGGGCAGACACAGAAUCUUGAAAACCACAGUAGGGACCUCCUGUUUUAUUAAAUAUAAGGGAGAGGAAGAGAAAGAUAGUGGUGGAGAAGGAA
This is a non-coding RNA of Notechis scutatus (mainland tiger snake), 495 nucleotides long. The record is from RefSeq and is a predicted model, not a curated record. NCBI's taxonomy places the organism in Eukaryota, Metazoa, Chordata, Lepidosauria, Squamata, Elapidae.